UAAUGCAUCGGAUAGAGUCCAAAUUAGCCAGGAAGAGGAAGACUUAGCUCAACUUUCUCGGACAGAUUCUGGUAUUGGUCCCAGUGAAUCAUUUGUAUCAGGUUCUUCAUCAACUAGGUUUGGUGAUUCACCUUCGAUAUCUGCAUCCAGCAGCUCACGAUCACACUCUUGGUCGUCUUCCUGGUCUCCAGAUGGUGGUAACAGCAAUGGCAGCAAUGUUGUCCAAGCAACAGCAUGGGGCAUGGUAAUUGUGACAGCAAGUUUGGGAG
Molecule: long non-coding RNA, 269 nt
Filed under: Nicotiana benthamiana
Lineage: Eukaryota; Viridiplantae; Streptophyta; Magnoliopsida; Solanales; Solanaceae
Description: long non-coding RNA (NBEN_LNC001530)
Source: RNAcentral